This 626-nucleotide ribosomal RNA is filed under the name uncultured Russulaceae. Its description in RNAcentral is "LSU rRNA". It matches the Rfam family "Eukaryotic large subunit ribosomal RNA", at positions 47 to 649 of the family's 3401-position model. The record is from RNAcentral. Lineage: Eukaryota; Fungi; Basidiomycota; Agaricomycetes; Russulales; Russulaceae.
UAAGCGGAGGAAAAGAAACUAACAAGGAUUCCUCUAGUAACUGCGAGUGAAGCGGGAAAAGCUCAAAUUUAAAAUCUGGCGGUCUCUGGCCGUCCGAGUUGUAAUUUAGAGAAGCGUCUUCCGCGCCGGACCGUGCACAAGUCUCCUGGAAUGGAGCGUCAUAGAGGGUGAGAAUCCCGUCUUUGGCACGGAUGCCUGUGCUUCUGCGAUGCGCUCUCGAAGAGUCGAGUUGUUUGGGAAUGCAGCUCAAAAUGGGUGGUGAACUCCAUCUAAAGCUAAAUAUUGGCGAGAGGCCGAUAGCGAACAAGUACCGUGAGGGAAAGAUGAAAAGCACUUUGGAAAGAGAGUGAAACAGUACGUGAAAUUGUUGAAAGGGAAACGCUUGAAGUCAGUCGCGUCGACCGAGACUCAGCCUUGCCUUGGCUUGGUGUACUUCUCGGCCCGACGGGUCAGCAUCAAUUUUGCCCCUCGGAUAAUGGCAAGGGAAAGAUGGCACCUUUUCGGGUGUGUUAUAGUCUCCUGUCGCAUGCGAGGGGUGGGAUUGAGGAACUCAGCGCGCACCUUGGUGUCGGGGCUUCGGCCCACGUCACGCGCUUAGGAUGCUGGCGUAAUGGCUUUAAACGACC